GGCAGCAAAAGGCGCACAUCGGCUUUGGCUUUGGAAAUGAUUGCGUUAUUUGUUCUGGUUUGCGUCUCGGUCGAUCGCGUUGCCUGUCAGAUCCGCUAUUCGGUGCCCGAGGAGCAGGAGCAUGGCACGUUCGUGGGGAAUAUCGCCGAGGAUUUGGGAUUAGACGUGACUAAACUUUCCGCCCGGAGGUUCCAGACGGUGCCGAGCUCCAGGACUCCCUACUUGGAGGUGAACCUGGAGAACGGGGUCCUGUUCGUCAACGAGCAGAUCGACCGGGAGCGCAUCUGCAAGCAGAACCCCAUCUGCCUGCUGCAUCUGGAAGUUUUCUUGGAAAACCCGCUGGAACUUUUCCGGGUCGAGAUCGAAGUGGUGGAUAUUAACGACAACCCGCCGGGCUUCCCGGAGGCGGACAUCACGGUGGAGAUCUCCGAGAGCGCCUCUCCGGGGACGCGUCUGCCGCUGGAGAGCGCCUUCGACCCGGACGUGGGCAGCAAUUCGCUGCGCACGUACGAGAUCACCCCCAACAGUUACUUUUUCCUCGACGUGCAGACCCCGGGAGACGGCAACAAGUUCGCCGAGCUGGUGCUGGAGAAAGCCCUGGACCGGGAGCAGCAGGCGGUGCACCGGUACGUGCUGACGGCGGUGGACGGGGGGGCGCCCCAGAGGACCGGCACCGCUCUGCUGACCAUCAAAGUGCUGGACUCCAACGACAACGUGCCGGUGUUCGAGCAGUCCAUCUACACGGUCAGCCUGCCCGAGAACAGCCCGGCCGGGACCCUGGUCCUCCAGCUCAACGCCACCGACCGCGACGAGGGCAAGAACGGGGAGAUCCUCUACUCGUUCAGCAACCACGUCUCGCCCCGGGUCAAGGAGCUGUUCAGCAUCGAGCCCCGGACGGGCCGGAUCGAGGUGAGCGGGGACAUCGACUACGAGGAGAGCAGCCUGUACCAGAUCUAUGUGCAAGCCAAGGACCUGGGGCCCAACGCCGUGCCGGCUCACUGCAAGGUGCUGGUCAAGGUGCUGGACGCCAACGACAACGCGCCCGAGAUCAGCUUCAGCACCGUGUCCGACUCGGUGAACGAGAGCUCGUCCACCGGCACCGUGGUGGCCCUGCUCAGCGUGGCCGACCGCGACUCGGGCGAGAACGGCCAACUGCGCUGCGAGAUCGUGGGCCGAGUGCCCUUCCAGCUCAAGUCGUCCUUCAAGAACUACUACACGGUGGUGACCGACGGGCCGCUGGACCGGGAGAGCGCCGACUCCUACACCAUCACCAUCGCGGCCAAGGACCGGGGCUCCCCGGCCCUGGCCUCCAGCAAGUCCAUCACCGUGCAGGUGGCCGACGAGAACGACAACUCGCCCCGUUUCUCCCGGGCGUCGUACGACGUGUACGUGACCGAGAACAACGUGCCCGGGGCGUACAUCUACGCCGUGAGCGCGGCGGACCCGGACGUGGGCCAGAACGCCUACAUCUCCUACUCCAUCUUGGAGUGCGACAUCCAGGGCAUGUCGGUCUUCACCUACGUGUCCAUCAACUCGGAGAACGGCUACCUCUACGCCCUGCGCUCCUUCGACUACGAGCAGCUCAAGGAGUUCGGCUUCACGGUCCAGGCCCGGGACGCGGGCAGCCCGCCCCGGGCCGCCAACGCCAGCGUCAACAUCGUGGUGGUGGACCAGAACGACAACGCGCCCUCCAUCGUGUCGCCCGCGCUCAGGAACGGCAGCGCCAAGGAACUGGUGCCCCGCGCGGCCGAGCCGGGCUACCUGCUCACCCGCCUGGUGGCGGUGGACGCCGACGACGGGGACAACGCCAGGCUGACCUACUACAUCGCCAAGGGCAACGAGCUGGGGCUCUUCCGCAUGGACUGGCGGACCGGGGAGCUCAAGACCGUGCGGAGGCUGCCCGCCCGCAAGAAGGACGCCGGCGCCGCCCCUUACGAGCUCCUGAUCGAGGUGAGGGACCACGGGCAGCCUCCGCUCUCGGCCACCACCACCGUCCUGGUGGUGGCCGUGGACAGCCCGGUGGACCGCCCGGGGGGGGAGAGGCGCAACCGAGCCGGGAGCCCGAAGGAAAACUCCUUGGAUCUGACCCUGAUCCUGAUCAUCGCGCUGGGCUCGGUGUCCUUCGUGUUCCUCCUGGCCAUGAUCGUGCUGGCCAUCCGGUGCCAGAAGGACAAGAAGCUGAACCUGUACGGCUGCCUGGCCGGGGAGUGCUGCUCCUGCUGCAGACAGGCCAGGAACAGGAAGAAGAAGCUCAGCAAGUCGGACAUCAUGUUGGUCCAGACCAACAACUCCAACGCGGCGCAGGUCUCCACGGACGAAGGGGCCUUCGGACACCACAGUCAGAAUUACUGCUACCAAGUGUGUCUGACCCCGGAGUCGGCCAAAACCGACCUCAUGUUCUUGAAGCCGUGCAGCCCGGCCAGGAGCACGGACACCGACCACAACCCCUGCGGGGCUCUCGUCACGGGGUACACUGACCAGCAGCCGGACAUCAUUUCCAAUGGGAGUAUAUUAUCAAACGAGGCAAAACACCAGCGAACCGAGCUCAGCUAUCUGGUCGACAGACCCCGUCGAGUUAACAGUUCUGCUUUCCAGGAAGCGGACAUAGUGAGCUCCAAGGACAGUGGCCACGGCGACAGCGAACAGGGGGACAGCGACCACGACGCCACCAACAGAGCUCACUCCACGGGUGCUGAUCUCUUUUCCAAUUGCACAGAAGAGUGUAAAGCUCUGGGGCACUCAGACCGAUGUUGGAUGCCAACCUUUGUGCCUACAGAUGGUCGCCAAGGCUCUGAUUACCGCAGCAAUCUGCAUGUCCCCGGCAUGGACUCUGUGCCUGACACUGAGGUCUACGAAGCUCCAGAGCAGACUGGGGAGAAAUCCUUCUCGACAUUUGGAAAAGAAAAGUCACAUCCAUCCAAUUUGGACAGGAAAGAAUAUGAUGCGCUUCUGACCAGUACACGUGCACCUUACAAGCCACCAUAUCUAACAAGGAAGAGAAUUUGCUAGUCCCUUCUGUUGUUGCAGCAUGAUUUUGCACAAGCCAACGACCUAAAAGAAAAUCAAAAAGAAGCAUCAACUUUCCACUCCGUCAUCCUGGCCGUCGAUUUGUGUGUAAUGUAAUCGAUUCCUAUAAUAUUGGAGACAAUUUUGCUAAUAAUGGGAUCAUAUGCUCUCAGCAGGUCUGAGAAUGAUGCGAUUUGGAGACUUUGGAGGUGACUGGUGUGGUCACUUCUCCGACCUGUGUGUGCCUGUUUACAGCACUCAGACUUUCACUGAGCUCUGAGCUCUUUAAUCACCGACCGCCACAGGUCGGGCACCAAGAGAAGCCAACUGUACAGAAAACAAUCAGACGUGCAUUAUAAAUGCAAUAUCACUGUUUUAGAUGUGACUGUUUUUCUAUUUUUUUUGUGAUGGAGUGUCCCCCAGAUUAAGCCAUCGUGACUGUGUCCCUUAUGCACAGCGUGUCUUUCUGGUGGUCAGCCACGGGACCCACCAUUAUCAAAGCUCUGCAGUUCAACAAUAUUCUGUAGUUUAUACAGUGUUACUUGCAAAACGUGUUUACUGUACUCUUUCAAAACUUCUAAAUAAAAAGAAAUGUACUCUUUUUUUCUUCCUGAAGUGGUGGUGUUCAGUGAAGGGAUAACUUGUGAUUUGCAAAUAUCUGAAAUCCCAUGUUUGUUGACAGCUUCCGUUCUUUCCCUUUCACUCUCAAGACCAAUUCAGAACCGAGAAAGAGAAAUCGAGAGGGCUGAUGUCCGUUAACACUUAAAAGACCCACGUAAAUUUGAACACUCGUAGCCUGUUUCUUAAUCCUGGCAUUAAAUCAUUUUGAGCUAGUCUAUGUGCUGGGUAUUUUCUCAUCUUGAGUAAUUGAUCUGGAUCCCAAGAGGAACCAGAGAUUCCUUUGGUAGACAGCACCGAAGAUUGUUUUCCUUUAUCUCAUGGAUAUAGCCUAUAGAUCCCUCUUGUGAUGUCUUUUUCACUUCCACUCGGGGGAAAAGGAUGGUUAUUGUUUGGGGGGAGGGGGAGGUGGGUGGAAGGGGUCCAGUUGUUUAGUCAAAUACACUUGAAUGCAAAUCUGGUGAUAUUGCAUCCUGACAAAGUCCUGGUAUAAAUAGAACAGGGUAAAACUAGAGGUGAGGGAGUGUUACAAGGGCGUAACACAUUUGAGCUCAUCUAUUGAUAUUUUAUACACCACAUGAGUGGUUAAGACAUCACUAUCUUGAUCGAGUCACUGCUCUGCUCGGAGUGACACUUUAAGCCAGCUUUUAUAUUACAUCAGGGUCACUCUUUUUUGCUGUUCAAUGAAUUCUUGAAACCAAUCCUUAUUUUAAGCUUCCAAAUUUAACUUUUUUAAAAUCAAAAUAGAAAAUGACAAGUUAAGGUGACGAAUUGCAGAGAACAGACUUUUUUUAAAAAUAAAAUAUUACGUACAAAAUUAAUGUUGUAUUUUCUCACAUUGUUAAAUCAGUUCAUUGUCAAGAAAAAAACUGUAAUACAUUAUUAUUCUAUCUAUACUGUAGUAGUUUAUACGUGCUUAAAUUAGUCAGCAAAAUUUUAAAACACUAAAUAAAUAGUAUGCUACACUGCAAUCAUUUGGGUUAAAUCAACAAAUCGUACAAAAUAACAAUGCAAAUGUUUAUUAUCAUGGAUUAAAGUGCUGUUCAUUAAAAGUCCCGUGAAUGCUUUUUGUCUCUGUAUUAAUGGUAAAAUGCCAUGGGAUUAGUUAUGUUAGUGACAUAGUGAGGUUGGAGCGUGCGUUAGUGGCAGUGUGUUGUUGCAGUGUACAUAUCAGUGACCGUGUGAACUUUCAAUGUGUAUAUUAGAGACAGUGUGAGCCUGGAGGUGUGUGUUGCUGUUAGUAUGAGGCUGGAGUGUGUGUAUUAGAGACAGCGAGAGGUUGGAAUGUAUGCUCUGUUCACCAUUUAUUGGUGACAGGCGUAGGUGACUGCACUUAUAUGUUUUGUGAUUCUGCAUCUAACAUGAAUAAUAACCCAUAUUAUUAUUAAAAAUAAAAACUGGUGCUUAGAUAUUG
This is a long non-coding RNA of Callorhinchus milii (elephant shark), 5038 nucleotides long. RefSeq annotates it as protocadherin 10a. Lineage: Eukaryota; Metazoa; Chordata; Chondrichthyes; Chimaeriformes; Callorhinchidae. The transcript has 5 exons. The record is from RefSeq and is a predicted model, not a curated record.